GGGCCCGCACAAGCAGCGGAGCAUGUGGUUUAAUUCGAAGCAACGCGAAGAACCUUACCUAGACUUGACAUCCCCUGCAUAACCCAGAGAUGGGCGAAGUCCUUCGGGACAGGGUGACAGGUGGUGCAUGGUUGUCGUCAGCUCGUGUCGUGAGAUGUUGGGUUAAGUCCCGCAACGAGCGCAACCCUUAUCAUUAGUUGCUACCAUUAAGUUGAGCACUCUAGUGAGACUGCCCGGGUUAACCGGGAGGAAGGUGGGGAUGACGUCAAAUCAUCAUGCCCCUUAUGUCUAGGGCUACACACGUGCUACAAUGGUGAGUACAAAGAGAUGCAAGACCGCAAGGUGGAGCCAAACUCAAAAACUCAUCCCAGUUCGGAUUGUAGGCUGCAACUCGCCUACAUGAAGCCGGAGUUGCUAGUAAUCGCGAAUCAGCAUGUCGCGGUGAAUACGUUCCCGGGCCUUGUACACACCGCCCGUCACACCAUGAGAGCUGGUAACACCCGAAGUCCGUGAGGUAACCGUAAGGAGCCAGCGGCCGAAGGUGGGAUUAGUGAUUGGGGUG
RNAcentral lists this ribosomal RNA (562 nucleotides) under uncultured bacterium. RNAcentral describes it as "bacterial SSU rRNA". It matches the Rfam family "Bacterial small subunit ribosomal RNA", at positions 917 to 1482 of the family's 1533-position model. The record is from RNAcentral.